This is a non-coding RNA of Bos taurus (domestic cattle), 73 nucleotides long. Lineage: Eukaryota; Metazoa; Chordata; Mammalia; Artiodactyla; Bovidae. The record is from Rfam.
UCCCUGGUGGUCCAGUGGCUAAGACUCCACACUCCCAAAGCAGGGGGCCCAGGUUCAAUCCCUGAUCAGGGAA